Molecule: long non-coding RNA, 3904 nt
Organism: Camelus dromedarius (Arabian camel)
Lineage: Eukaryota; Metazoa; Chordata; Mammalia; Artiodactyla; Camelidae
Exons: 3
Source: RefSeq, a predicted model, not a curated record
CACAGACGUGAGUUCUUCACACAUACUUAGAGCGUGGAAAAACUCAGCUAUUUCACCAAACACACAGGAGAACUCAGGCUUCCCUUGAAAAAUCCCCUCUCAGAGCUUGAAGCAAUUAUGAGGACCUGGGAACAGGUGAAAAAAAAAAAAGGAGACCCAGCCCUAGGAAAGUGCAGGUCUGCCCUGUAGCGGGGAGAGGGAGGCAGGACUGGGCAGGACUGGACAGGGCUGGGCAGGACUGGGUGGGAAUGUGACUCUGGGAAGUUCAGCUCUUCAUUCUGUACCACCUGCCCACAGCUCUGUGCUACGGCCACCCUCAUCCCUCCUCCCGGGGCUGGAGCUGGGGUCAAAGGCAAAAAGGACUUCAUGAAAGUCCGUGGUGUUCAGUGUCCAAUUAAUUAGUGUUGAGGGUGGAUUUAACUUUCAAGAUUUAUUUAUUUAUUUAUUUAUUUAUUUUGGCCACAGCCUAAGUUCUUUCUGUUGAACACUCCUGGGAGCCUGUGUUUAUUUCUCAUCUUGGCCAAGCUUUCAGGAGCUUUCAUUAUUCCCACUUCCCACACAGAAACCCCACAGCUCCUCCACGAGCUGCUCUGCCUAGAGACUCCCACCCCGCCCCCUGAAUCAGUCUGGUCUAAGCACGUGCUUUCAGCCAUGAGUUAACAGCUCCGGAGCGCUGGCCUCUGGCUGCUCAGUCCCCGGCAUCAGACUGCGCCUUGCUAGAGUGAACGUACUCAGUUACAGGGGAUCAUGAAUUACUGAUUUAUUUUGUUCUCCAAACUGCAAAAGCUCCCCGAGGCUGUGGUGAAAUUCUCUAUUGUAGCUGUCAGUAGUUGAACUAUUAAAAAAUUGUACACACACACAGAGACUUACUUAUACAAGUGUAUACGUACCUUUAAUAUACCACAGUAUGUAAAUAACUAAAUGGCAGUUUUGAAAUGUCAACAGACUGCUGCAAAAAUCAGUCUGCUCUUUCCUUGUCAAUGAGCUGGAGAAUCCCUAGAAUUCUCUUCAUUCCUGUGAUACUUAGUGUCCGCAAGGCCUUUAAAUAUAUUCAUUUUUAUUUAAAAGUGUAAUAAUACCAAUAAGGAAAUAUAAGAAUUACUUUCAUACAAAGUAUGAACUAGGCCUCACUGGGCCCAGGGAAAGCAAGCACCUUUAGCACCGGCUAACGGAAUCCAUGGUUUCAGCAAGGGCUCGGGAGAAGCUCUCGCCAUCACUUAGUCAAGGAGCUCUGGGCAUUCACCGCGUGUCCCGCCCUGUGCUGGGCACCAUGGAGUUUAAGGGAAGUGUAACAGCUGCCUGCAAGGGCCCCACCUCUGACUGAAGAGGUGUCCGCUGGCGGGGAUGCACACAGGUCGCAAAACACGGCCACUUCUUGUUCUCAGCAUCGCCAUUGUCCAUGUUCAUAGUCCAUUUUGAAUUAAUUAACUAAACUAGCCAAGAAAGACAGACUAGGGCCAUACCGAACGAAGUUACUGGUCUUGUGAUCUUGCCUCCCACCACCUUUCCUGCACUGUCCAUCUCGCCCCUUCCUUUAGCUCAUGCCCGUCAGCACAGAAGCACGCCCUGGGCUUGGUCCCGGCUUUCUGCUUACUCUUCUAACUCAUCUCAUCACAAGUCACUAAAUACCACCUGUAUGAUCACAAGUCUAGACUCUCUAUCUCCCUCUCAGCCUGUUCCUAGGAGCUCCAGACUCACAGUCAGCUGGCACCUCUGACGCUGCCUCAGGAGUGUCUUGCAGGCACCUCGAACUUAAGUCCUAAACUUAACUUCUAAUUUCCACCAAGUCUCACCCCCACCCCACUUCCCCAUCACAAGAAAUGACAUAUGUCCAUCCACCUAGUUACCCUGUCACACUGGAGUCAUUUUAAAUUCUUUACUCCUCACAUAAAACCAUAAGCAAAUCCUUUUAUGUCUGUUUCCAAAGCACAUCUUAAACCCGUCUGCCUCUCUCCACCGCGCUAGUUGACGUUACCACCCAUUUCUUCCGCGUCCACUCUUGCUCUCCUUCAAUCUAUGCUCCACAUAGUAGCCAGAGUCAUCUUAAAAAGUAUAAAUCAUAUACAUCAAUUCCUUCCUUAAAACCCUUUAAUGGCUUCCCAGUAUAAUUUGUAUAAAAUCCAGGGUCUUUAACAGGGUCUGCUGGCCCCAGGCAUUCUCCGGUUUCACCUCACGUGCUUCUCCCGUCACUUGCUAGGAUCCAGCGAAACUGUUCACUUCCAGGGUCUCCAGUGUGCCCCGCUCCUCCUGCCGCGGGACCCUCACACACUCCGGUUUCCUGCACUGCAUGCUCUCCACUCUGGCCCUCCUGGUGGCUGACUCCUUCACACCUUUCAGCUCUCAGCAUCUUUGUUACCUCCCCAGAAAGGCCUUUUCUCAUCACCCCGUCAAAGCACCCACCCAUCCCCAACAGACACACACACAUACCCCAUCAUUAUGUAGCAAAAUGUCUUGUUUAUGUCAUUAUUUAUAGCAAUUAUUUAUCCUCUCACCCACUCCACGAAGUCAGGAACCAGUUUCCUGGCUCACUGCUUGUUCAUCUAGCGUUGUACCUGCAUCCUGAGAGGGCUCAGUAAGUAUCUGUAAAUGAAUGAGAGAAAGGAAGGAUCUGUGUGAGCUUGGGUGGCCAGGAAAGAUUCUGUGGUGGUUGCGGUACACGAGGCGGUCCUUCUAAUUAAGCUGGGGGUCGGGACACCGUGGGAAUGACACACAUGAGGGAAUGAGCACGGGAAUGAGCAAGUGAAGACAGACAGGCCAGCUGACAUUGAAGGGAACAGCUUAACCAAAAUAGAUCGUUUGAGUCACAGAAUGUGAAACUUGAAAAGAGAGAAAAAGAAGAAUGGCCCCCAAAACCAAGGAAAGAAAUUUCAUUUUGAAAUGGGAAGCCACUGUUUGGUCUUGAUCAGGGGAAUUGCAUGAUAAAUAUUUUAUAAAAUGAGUCUGGCAGGGUCGUGCAGAGUAAAUGGAAGGAAGCAGCCCCAAAGCGGGAAGAGCUGAGUAGCGGCUUGCACACGCCGUCCAGGGUGGAGGAGGUGAGGCUGCUGGCAGGCGCGAUGGAGAGUGAGGGGUGGAGCCAAGAGAGCUGUGAUGGAAGAGACCCUAAGACGUCAUUUAGGUACUUGGGGGGAGGAGCGGGAGGGGUCAAAAGUGAUGUUGAGAUUCUGAGACUGAGAAACUGGAAGCAAGCCAGAAUCAUGGUGCUGGAAAGGACCAACCGACGGGUCAACCGUGUUCCUGACAGGACACUUGAGUUACUUCUACCUUUUGGCUGUUGUGACUAUUGCUGCUAUAAACAUGGGUAUACAAUGCCUACAAAGCUAAGAGCUAUGGAUACAGCAGUGAACUGCUCAGGAGAGGUCCCACCCUGCCCUCACCAAACUCGUAGUCUAUUGACUGAAGAAGUCAGACACUGAACAGUGAUUACAAGCACAACUCUGGCAUGAAAGAAGGAAAGGCAGCUGCUGACAUGUGAGACUGAGAAACAGCAACUGACCAAACGGAUUUUAUCUCAUUUCUUGGGACUCUCUGACUUACUGGUCUUCCAACCCUCUCCCACCAAAAAAGAAAUAGGUCACCCAACUGCCCAUUCUUAACGGCCGUCAUUGCUUUCCUCCCUAAGUGCGCGCAGACUUGUACUUGUUUCAGAGUCCACUCUGGCUCUGCUGGAGGCCAACGGGCUCGUGGUCUGCAGAUUCUGGAGUCUAACGUUUCAUGGGUUUUAAACAACAAGGACCACAUUUGCCUUUGUAUGUUGGCUCUCUGAGCCUAAAAAUUUGACAGCAUCUUAAUUUCUCAGAGAUAAUUCUCUGAAGUGACACCGGUAACUUCCUUAUGUACCUUGGGGUAUUACUCGCUGGAUAUGAAGAGCUGAAGUCAUUAAAAGCAACCAGGUGUUAUGUGCUCA